AAAAGUCGUAACAAGGUAACCGUAGGUGAACCUGCGGUUGGAUCAUUAAUGAAAUAUAUAUGGGGGUAAUAAUUAUUACCCCAUCAUAUUAACCCAUGUGAAUUUGUUAUUGUAUUUAAUGGUUAGGGAGACCUAACCUGUUUAUUGACCUAAUUGAUAUAAUUUAUAGCCUUGAAAUUUAAUUGAUAAAAAUUUAUAAACAACUUUUAACAACGGAUCUCUAGGCUCUCG
RNAcentral lists this unclassified non-coding RNA (231 nucleotides) under fungal sp. RNAcentral describes it as "partial internal transcribed spacer region". The stretch from base 1 to 48 matches the Rfam family "Eukaryotic small subunit ribosomal RNA", at positions 1784 to 1831 of the family's 1831-position model. Lineage: Eukaryota; Fungi. The record is from RNAcentral.